Molecule: transfer RNA, 64 nt
Filed under: Meccus pallidipennis
Lineage: Eukaryota; Metazoa; Arthropoda; Insecta; Hemiptera; Reduviidae
Description: tRNA-Glu
Source: RNAcentral
AUUUAUAUAGUUUAUAACAAAACAUUUCAUUUUCAAUGAAAAAAGGGACAUUCUCCUAUAAAUU